This 2375-nucleotide long non-coding RNA is filed under the name Marmota monax (woodchuck). Lineage: Eukaryota; Metazoa; Chordata; Mammalia; Rodentia; Sciuridae. The record is from RNAcentral.
UUUUUUUUUUGCAGUCCUAGAAAUUGAAGUACUCUAUCAUGAAGUACAUCCCCAACCCUUUUUGCUUUUUAUUUUGAGACAGGUCUCACUAAAUUGCUGAGGCUGGCCUUGAACUUGUGAUCCUCCUGCUUCAGCCUCCUGAGUCAUAAGGAUUACAGGUGUAUGCCACUGUGUCCAACAGUGGUCUCCUUUUUCUGAGAACUUCUGAAAAGCCAGCCCUGAUUCCUUUCAUCCAAAAAGUCAGUUUUUCCAUAAAUCUGGGGUUGACCCAAGAAGUCCCAAGGGACCACUCCUACUCCCCAGGGUGCAUUUGUGUACUCUAGAGAAAAGUGUUUUCUUGAUCCUGGCAGUCCCAGACUGGGGCCCACCAUUUGGUGAACAGAGAGUUCAAUCUCUCUUGGCUGGACAGUCUCAGUGAAUAACCUAUACAACCAUAAGUGGUCUCCUGAGACUUUUCCAUGUGUCCUCACCUCUGCUAUCUAUCACAAGCCACCGGUUCGUGAAGCACUUCCAUCUACACAGUUUAACUCUUAGGAACUCUUUAAGGGGACCACCAUCCUGUUUUCAAGGAAAUUGAGGUCAAGAGGGAAAGGAGUUUUCUCAGGAUAAUCCAUUGAGUGGGCAGAGCUGGGACUUGGGUCCUGUUCUUUGUCUUCUUCAGGCAGAGUGUGGUCCUGGACCUAGAGGAGAAAAUUUUGCCUGCCUUCAUGCUUCACAACCCACAAAGCACAUUUACUCACACGGUCUCAUGGGACACCUUGCUCCAUUCAGGCUGCUGUAGCUUCUGGAAGCCUGGCUCCUGCAUCUUCUGCCUACCCAACUCUGCGGCUGGCCCUGCCUUGGUUGAGGGCCAGGGAAUUUGGCAGGGCACCCCUCUGGAUGCUGCUCUCGUGCCGAACAGGAGCUGACUCAGCCUCCAGCAGCCUCACCAAGUUGGAAUUUGGAGCAAGGGAGCGGAGAUGCCACUGGGCUGACUGGGUGGAAGUGGCUGAGUCAUGAGAUGCUGGCUCAACCCCCUCCCCAGCUUCCUCCCCACCCUGAGCUUCCCCAGGGCUGAGUCCCCCUAGUCCAGGCUUGGGAAAUCCCCAGAACUGACCUUGGAAUUGGAGCCUGUUGCCCUGCCUAUCUCAGACCAUCAGUGCUUUGUAUUUGAUUGAAGUGGGCCAAGGUUUGGACAGGCCAUCAUGGGUGCCUGUCCAAAGAUGCCCAGGUGAUAUGGGCAGCCCUGUUCUCCCAUAACAGCGCGCCACACUCAUCCCUGUUCUCCAUCCCCCUGUCUCCAUGGCCCUGCAUUGGCCCAUUCCUUACCAUCUCUUCCAAACAAUGGCAACAGCCACUAGUUUGCCUCCUCUGUCUUCCCACACCUCCAGGUCUAUGGACACUGCAGCAGAGCUGGCCAUGCGUCUGAACUGCUCAAAGUCCUUCCAUGGCUCCCCAAGUCCUGUAAGAGUCCACUCUUCUGGGCUGGCAUUGAUCUGGCACUCAUCAGCUGCUCCAGCUUCCCUCGGACAUCCCUACCUGCCCAUGCUCACUCCACCAAAGCCAACUGGCACUUCCUCACCCCUGGGCUUCGAGCCUUCCUUCUACUAGAACACCUGCUUUGUAGCCCUAUCAUGAGACCUUGUGGUUACUUAUGUAAUCACCUGAUUGAUGUCUGUCUCCUACUGUACCCUAAGUCACCAAGAUUGUGUGCUGUACAAAGCCAGGAACAGUGUCUAAAUUUCAGCCCUGAGUUCACUUCUCCAUAAAUUAUUAAACAAAUGAAGAAAGUAAUUAACUUGGAACCAGCUCCCUUUGUCCCCUCCCACUGCAUCUCUCCCCUACUCCCUUCUCAUCCUUGUUCUAGAAUCGUGAGCUGCAUGUGGUUUUCUUGCACACAUUCUGACAUUCUAGCCUUUCUCACUUCUGUGUCUUUGCUAGGCAUGCUGGUUCCUCACCCACUUUCCUAACUCCACAUCUCAGACCCAUAGACUCAGGGGUCAUCCCUACAGGCCUUCUGCCACCUAUCUUCACCCCAACUGUUCUAGCACAUUCCUAGGUUCCCAGUAUAGCCACCUACCUGUGGUAUCCAUCUUUUUUUGUUGUUGUUGUUCUAGGGAUUGAACCCAGGAGUUUACCACUGAGCUACAUCACCAGCCCUUUUAAUUUUUCAUUUUGAGACAGGGCCUCACUUAAGUUACUGAAGCUGGGCUCAAACUUGUGAUCCUCCUGCCACAGCCUCCAAAGUCAUUGGGAUUGCAGGUGUGUGCCACUGCACCCAGUGUUGUGGCUCCCAUCUGCGUGUCCUGGAUCCCUUGAGGACAGUGGCAGCAGUUUACCUAUCCUCCAGGGUAUCCUCAGUACCCAAAAUAGCACCCAGCCUAGCAGAGGAGUCA